UUCCCUGUAGCUCAGUUGGUAGAGCAUGGUGUUUGCAACGCCAGGGUUGUGGGUUCGAAGUCGCUCUGGAUAAG
This 74-nucleotide transfer RNA is filed under the name Salmo salar (Atlantic salmon). It matches the Rfam family "tRNA". From Rfam's summary of the family: Transfer RNA (tRNA) molecules are approximately 80 nucleotides in length. Their secondary structure includes four short double-helical elements and three loops (D, anti-codon, and T loops). Lineage: Eukaryota; Metazoa; Chordata; Actinopteri; Salmoniformes; Salmonidae. The record is from Rfam by way of RNAcentral.